UACGGAGGAUUCAAGCGUUAUCCGGAUUUAUUGGGUUUAAAGGGUGCGUAGGCGGCCAUGUAAGUCAGCGGUAAAAGCCCGGGGCUCAACCCCGGCGAGCCGUUGAAACUGGGGGACUCGAGUCGGAGAGAAGCAGGCGGAAUGCGCGGUGUAGCGGUGAAAUGCAUAGAUAUCACGCAGAACUCCGAUCGCGAAGGCAGCCUGCCGGCGCGCAACUGACGCUCAUGCACGAAAGCGUGGGUAUCGAA
RNAcentral lists this ribosomal RNA (248 nucleotides) under uncultured Muribaculaceae bacterium. RNAcentral's name for it is "partial 16S ribosomal RNA". It matches the Rfam family "Bacterial small subunit ribosomal RNA", at positions 524 to 772 of the family's 1533-position model. Lineage: Bacteria; Pseudomonadati; Bacteroidota; Bacteroidia; Bacteroidales; Muribaculaceae. The record is from RNAcentral.